RNAcentral lists this microRNA precursor (199 nucleotides) under Oryza brachyantha (malo sina). RNAcentral describes it as "MIR1435 microRNA precursor family". It matches the Rfam family "MIR1435 microRNA precursor family". Lineage: Eukaryota; Viridiplantae; Streptophyta; Magnoliopsida; Poales; Poaceae. The record is from Rfam by way of RNAcentral.
UGGGUUUGUCCUAAGUCAAACAUCUUUAAGUUUGACCAAGUUUACAGAAAAAUAUAGCAGCAUUUCCAACACAAAUAAAUAUGCUUAAAAAAUAUAUUUCACGGUCGACCUAAUGAAACUAAUUUGAUGUUGUGGAUGUUAAUAUAUUUUACUAUAAACUUGGUUAAACUUAAAUAUGUUUGACUUAGGAUAAAUCCAA